Molecule: long non-coding RNA, 692 nt
Filed under: Rattus norvegicus (Norway rat)
Lineage: Eukaryota; Metazoa; Chordata; Mammalia; Rodentia; Muridae
Description: long non-coding RNA NONRATT004454
Source: RNAcentral
GCUGGAUCAGUGAGUCCGAGACAGCACAAGGGGUAGGAGCACAAGGCAAAAGGCCCAUCAAAAAUGGGGUCCAAAACUUCCAGAGGGUUUCAUCAUAAGGAGUUAUGUACAAGGGACCCAGGCUAGGGUCACAGCCUGUGAGGGAAGUGACCCACAGGCCACGGAGGCUGUCUGACCCUAACCAGCUGCUGCUGUGUCCUGCUCACUCUCAGUUCUCCUCAUCGCUGUCUUCUGGGCUGAUGGCUGGACUGGUGAGGCUGUAGGUGGGGCUGGUGGGGGAGUAGCCAGGAGAAGUGGGAGAGUAGGUGGAGCCCUUGGGAGAGGUGGGUGAGUAGGUGGGACUGGUGGGCGAGUACUUGGGAGAAGUUGGGGAGUAGGUAGGACUAGUAGGGGAGUACUUGGGAGAGGUCGGGGUGUAGACUGGAGAGGUUGGUGAAUAUGUAGGAGAGGUUGGCGAGUAUUUUGGGGUGGUGGGUGAGUAAGUGGGGCUGGUAGGAGAAUACUUGGGAGAAGUGGGUGAAUAUUUGGGGCUUGUAGGUGAGUAGCUGGGUGAGGUUGGGCUGUAGCUGGGUGAGGUUGGGGUAUAGUUGGGACUAGUUGGGGAAUAGUUAGGGCUAGUGGGUGAGUAACUUGGGGAAGUUGGUGAGUAACUUGGAGAAGUUGGUGAGUAGCUUGGAGAUGUCGGUGAGUAA